Non-coding RNA from Stenotrophomonas sp. LM091, 351 nucleotides. The record is from Rfam. NCBI's taxonomy places the organism in Bacteria, Pseudomonadati, Pseudomonadota, Gammaproteobacteria, Lysobacterales, Lysobacteraceae.
GGAGUCGGCCAGACAGUCGCGUCAUCCCUUGCGGAUGCCGAGGAAAGUCCGGGCUCCACAGGGCAAGGUGCCAGGUAACGCCUGGGCGGCGCGAGCCGACGGAAAGUGCAACAGAAAGAUACCGCCUACGUUUCCUUCGGGAAGCCGGUAAGGGUGAAAUGGUGCGGUAAGAGCGCACCGCGAGUCUGGUAACAGACCGGCACGGCAAACCCCACCUGGAGCAAGACCAAAUAGGGACCUAAUGGCGUGGCCCGCGUCGGGUCCGGGUAGGUUGCUCGAGCGCUGCGGUGACGCAGCGCCUAGAAGAAUGACUGUCCACGACAAAACCCGGCUUAUCGGCCGGCUCCGCCG